This 468-nucleotide ribosomal RNA is filed under the name uncultured bacterium. Its description in RNAcentral is "partial 16S ribosomal RNA". It matches the Rfam family "Bacterial small subunit ribosomal RNA", at positions 28 to 507 of the family's 1533-position model. The record is from RNAcentral.
GACGAACGCUGGCGGCGUGCUUAACGCAUGCAAGUCGAACGGAAAGGCCAUGCUUUUGUGGGGUGCUCGAGUGGCGAACGGGUGAGUAACACGUGAGUAACCUGCCCUUGACUUUGGGAUAACUUCAGGAAACUGGGGAUAAUACCGGAUAGGAGCUCAUGCCGCAUGGUGGGGGAUGGAAAGUUUCGGCGGUGGGGGAUGGACUCGCGGCUUAUCAGCUUGUUGGUGGGGUAGUGGCUUACCAAGGCUUUGACGGGUAGCCGGCCUGAGAGGGUGACCGGCCACCUUGGGACUGGGAUACGGCCCAGACUCCUACGGGAGGCAGCAGUGGGGAAUAUUGCACUGUGGGCGGGAGCCUGAUGCAGCAACGCCGCGUGCGGGAUGACGGCCUUCGGGUUGUAAACCGCUUUCGCCUGUGACGAAGCGUGAGUGACGGUAAUGGGUAAAGAAGCACCGGCUAACUACGUG